Molecule: unclassified non-coding RNA, 208 nt
Filed under: soil metagenome
Description: partial contains 5.8S ribosomal RNA, internal transcribed spacer 2, and large subunit ribosomal RNA
Source: RNAcentral
AACUGAUACUACCUGCGGGAACCUGCGGAGGGAUCAUUACCGAGUUUACAACUCCCAAACCCCUGUGAACAUACCACUUGUUGCCUCGGCGGAUCAGCCCGCUCCCGGUAAAACGGGACGGCCCGCCAGAGGACCCCUAAACUCUGUUUCUAUAUGUAACUUCUGAGUAAAACCAUAAAUAAAUCAAAACUUUCAGCAAUGGAUCUCU